Mastomys coucha (southern multimammate mouse) is the source of this 368-nucleotide long non-coding RNA. RefSeq lists it as uncharacterized. The transcript has 2 exons. Lineage: Eukaryota; Metazoa; Chordata; Mammalia; Rodentia; Muridae. The record is from RefSeq and is a predicted model, not a curated record.
CAGCUCCAGAUGCUGAUUCAUCGGGUCCCUUCAGCACUGUGACUGCCUCCUCAGGGGCCAGGCCAAGGAAGUGACUAAGUUUCAAGUCGUCCCCCAAAUGGGAGAGGCAGUACAAGAGGUCCAUGUGUGAUAUUCUACUGAAUGCUCCCUCACCCAUAAAGCAAACCAGGAAGAUAAGCUGUGAUUAUCUUAUCAGAAAACAGGGAUUCAGCAGUGAAGCAGGAUGCCAUAGCCUCUGCCUUUGAGUCCUUAAAGAAAUCUGAUUCUCAUGACCUAAUUAAUCCAAGAGUCUCUUGGAUUUUCUUAAGUGUUUCCCUGUAAUAACAGGACUUGCCUAGGAGAUGUCAAAUCAAUAUACCUGUUCCACU